AUGAACGCUGGCGGCGUGCUUAACACCUGCAAGUCGCACGAAGCAUUUAGGACAGAUUACUUCGGUUUGAAGUUCUUUAUGACUGAGUGGCGGACGGGUGAGUAACGCGUGGGUAACCUGCCUUGUACUGGGGGAUAGCAGCUGGAAACGGCUGGUAAUACCGCAUAAGCGCACAAUGUUGCAUGACAUGGUGUGAAAAACUCCGGUGGUAUAAGAUGGACCCGCGUCUGAUUAGCUAGUUGGUGAGAUAACAGCCCACCAAGGCGACGAUCAGUAGCCGACCUGAGAGGGUGACCGGCCACAUUGGGACUGAGACACGGCCCAGACUCCUACGGGAGGCAGCAGUGGGGAAUAUUGCACAAUGGAGGAAACUCUGAUGCAGCGACGCCGCGUGAGUGAAGAAGUAAUUCGUUAUGUAAAGCUCUAUCAGCAGGGAAGAUAGUGACGGUACCUGACUAAGAAGCUCCGGCUAAAUACGUG
Molecule: ribosomal RNA, 480 nt
Filed under: uncultured bacterium
Lineage: Bacteria
Description: partial 16S ribosomal RNA
Rfam family: Bacterial small subunit ribosomal RNA
Source: RNAcentral